This 420-nucleotide ribosomal RNA is filed under the name Fusobacteriota bacterium. RNAcentral's name for it is "Fusobacteria bacterium partial 16S ribosomal RNA". It matches the Rfam family "Bacterial small subunit ribosomal RNA", at positions 355 to 776 of the family's 1533-position model. The record is from RNAcentral. Lineage: Bacteria; Fusobacteriati; Fusobacteriota.
UGGGGGAUAUUGCACAAUGGGCGAAAGCCUGAUGCAGCGACGCCGCGUGGGGGAUGAAGGCCUUCGGGUUGUAAACUUCUUUUGCUCUGAACAAGGCAUGCCUUUGGGGUGUGUUGAGUGUAGGGGUUGAUUAGCGCCGGCUAACUACGUGCCAGCAGCCGCGGUAAUACGUAGGGCGCGAGCGUUGUCCGGAAUUAUUGGGCGUAAAGGGCUUGUAGGUGGCUGGUUGCGUCUGUCGUGAAGGCUCAUGGCUUAACUGUGGGUUUGCGGUGGGUACGGGCUGGCUUGAGUGUAGUAGGGGAGGCUGGAAUUCCUGGUGUAGCGGUGGAAUGCGCAGAUAUCAGGAGGAAUACCGGUGGCGAAGGCGGGUCUCUGGGCUGUUACUGACGCUGAGGAGCGAAAGCGUGGGGAGCGAACAGG